This 103-nucleotide microRNA precursor is filed under the name Marmota monax (woodchuck). The record is from RNAcentral. Lineage: Eukaryota; Metazoa; Chordata; Mammalia; Rodentia; Sciuridae.
AGAAAAAUUGCUGGAUUAUAUGGUAAGACUAUGUUGAGUUUUGUAAGAAGCUCCCAAACUGUAUUCCAAAGUGGAUAUACCAUUUUUCAUAUCCAUCAGCAAU